RNAcentral lists this transfer RNA (80 nucleotides) under Podarcis lilfordi (Lilford's wall lizard). Its description in RNAcentral is "tRNA.Ile". The stretch from base 8 to 66 matches the Rfam family "tRNA", at positions 8 to 63 of the family's 71-position model. Rfam says of the family: Transfer RNA (tRNA) molecules are approximately 80 nucleotides in length. The record is from RNAcentral. Lineage: Eukaryota; Metazoa; Chordata; Lepidosauria; Squamata; Lacertidae.
GCGUGAAUAGCUCAGUUGGUUAGAGUGUAGUGCUGAUAACACUAAGGUUGCAGGUUCGAUCCCCAUAUGGGACAGCUGCA